This 404-nucleotide ribosomal RNA is filed under the name uncultured bacterium. Its description in RNAcentral is "partial 16S ribosomal RNA". It matches the Rfam family "Bacterial small subunit ribosomal RNA", at positions 30 to 526 of the family's 1533-position model. The record is from RNAcentral.
AUUGAACGCUGGCGGCAGGCCUAACACAUGCAAGUCGAGCGUGCGGCGGACGGGUGAGUAAUGCCUGGGAAUUGCCCAGUCGAGGGGGAUAACAGUUGGAAACGACUGCUAAUACCGCAUACUAUUGGAUUGCACAGUGGUGAUUAGCUAGUUGGUGAGGUAAUGGCUCAACAAGGCGACGAUCCCUAGCUGGUCUGAGAGGAUGAUCAGCCACAUUGGAACUGAGACAAGGGCCAGACUCCUACGGGAGGCAGCAGUGGGGAAUAUUGCACAAGGGGGGAAAGCCUGAUGCAGCCAUGCCGCGGGUAUGAAGAAGGCCGUCGGUUUGUAAAGCACUUUCAGCGGGGAGGCGUUACUCGCAGAAGAAGCACCGGCUAACUCCGUGCCAGCAGCCGCGGUAAUUC